This 253-nucleotide ribosomal RNA is filed under the name uncultured bacterium. RNAcentral describes it as "partial 16S ribosomal RNA". It matches the Rfam family "Bacterial small subunit ribosomal RNA", at positions 524 to 776 of the family's 1533-position model. The record is from RNAcentral.
UACGUAGGGGGCAAGCGUUGUCCGGAAUCAUUGGGCGUAAAGCGCGUGUAGGCGGCUCGGUAAGUCUGCUGUGAAAGUCCAGGGCUCAACCCUGGGAUGCCGGUGGAUACUGUCGAGCUCGAGUCCGGAAGAGGCGAGUGGAAUUCCUGGUGUAGCGGUGAAAUGCGCAGAUAUCAGGAGGAACACCGGUGGCGAAGGCGGGUCUCUGGGCCGAUACUGACGCUGAGGAGCGAAAGCGUGGGGAGCAAACAGG